CGUGUAGGCGGUUUGGCAAGUCAGAUGUGAAAGCCCCGGGCUUAACCUGGGAAGUGCAUUUGAAACUGCCAUACUUGAGUAUGGGAGAGGAGAGUGGAAUUCCCAGUGUAGAGGUGAAAUUCGUAGAUAUUGGGAGGAACACCCGUGGCGAAGGCGACUCUCUGGACCAAUACUGACGCUGAGACGCGAAAGCGUGGGGAGCAAACA
RNAcentral lists this ribosomal RNA (207 nucleotides) under uncultured bacterium. Its description in RNAcentral is "partial 16S ribosomal RNA". It matches the Rfam family "Bacterial small subunit ribosomal RNA", at positions 568 to 774 of the family's 1533-position model. The record is from RNAcentral.